CGAAUGGGGAAACCCAGUGUGAUUCGUCACACUAUCAUUAACUGAAUCCAUAGGUUAAUGAGGCGAACCGGGGGAACUGAAACAUCUAAGUACCCCGAGGAAAAGAAAUCAACCGAGAUUCCCCCAGUAGCGGCGAGCGAACGGGGAGGAGCCCAGAGCCUGAAUCAGCAUGUGUGUUAGUGGAAGCGUCUGGAAAGGCGCGCGAUACAGGGUGACAGCCCCGUACACAAAAGCGCAUGUGCUGUGAGCUCGAUGAGUAGGGCGGGACACGUGGUAUCCUGUCUGAAUAUGGGGGGACCAUCCUCCAAGGCUAAAUACUCCUGACUGACCGAUAGUGAACCAGUACCGUGAGGGAAAGGCGAAAAGAACCCCGGCGAGGGGAGUGAAAAAGAACCUGAAACCGUGUACGUACAAGCAGUGGGAGCACCCUUUGGGUGUGACUGCGUACCUUUUGUAUAAUGGGUCAGCGACUUAUAUUCUGUAGCAAGGUUAACCGAAUAGGGGAGCCGGAGGGAAACCGAGUCUUAACCGGGCGUUAAGUUGCAGGGUAUAGACCCGAAACCCGGUGAUCUAGCCAUGGGCAGGUUGAAGGUUGGGUAACACUAACUGGAGGACCGAACCGACUAAUGUUGAAAAAUUAGCGGAUGACCUGUGGCUGGGGGUGAAAGGCCAAUCAAACCGGGAGAUAGCUGGUUCUCCCCGAAAGCUAUUUAGGUAGCGCCUCGUGAAUUCAUCUCCGGGGGUAGAGCACUGUUUCGGCUAGGGGGCCAUCCCGGCUUACCAACCCGAUGCAAACUGCGAAUACCGGAGAAUGUUAUCACGGGAGACACACGGCGGGUGCUAACGUCCGUCGUGAAGAGGGAAACAACCCAGACCGCCAGCUAAGGUCCCAAAGUCAUGGUUAAGUGGGAAACGAUGUGGGAAGGCCCAGACAGCCAGGAUGUUGGCUUAGAAGCAGCCAUCAUUUAAAGAAAGCGUAAUAGCUCACUGGUCGAGUCGGCCUGCGCGGAAGAUGUAACGGGGCUAAACCAUGCACCGAAGCUGCGGCAGCGACACUGUGUGUUGUUGGGUAGGGGAGCGUUCUGUAAGCCUGUGAAGGUGUGUCGUGAGGCAUGCUGGAGGUAUCAGAAGUGCGAAUGCUGACAUAAGUAACGAUAAAGCGGGUGAAAAGCCCGCUCGCCGGAAGACCAAGGGUUCCUGUCCAACGUUAAUCGGGGCAGGGUGAGUCGACCCCUAAGGCGAGGCCGAAAGGCGUAGUCGAUGGGAAACGGGUUAAUAUUCCCGUACUUGGUGUUACUGCGAAGGGGGGACGGAGAAGGCUAUGUUGGCCGGGCGACGGUUGUCCCGGUUUAAGCGUGUAGGUGUGUGUUCCAGGUA
Molecule: ribosomal RNA, 1377 nt
Filed under: Salmonella enterica
Lineage: Bacteria; Pseudomonadati; Pseudomonadota; Gammaproteobacteria; Enterobacterales; Enterobacteriaceae
Description: partial 23S ribosomal RNA
Rfam family: Bacterial large subunit ribosomal RNA
Source: RNAcentral